UACGUAGGGUGCAAGCGUUGUCCGGAAUUAUUGGGCGUAAAGAGCUCGUAGGCGGUCUGUCGCGUCGGCUGUGAAAACCCGAGGCUCAACCUCGGGCCUGCAGUCGAUACGGGCGGACUGGAGUUCGGCAGGGGAGACUGGAAUUCCUGGUGUAGCGGUGAAAUGCGCAGAUAUCAGGAGGAACACCGGUGGCGAAGGCGGGUCUCUGGGCCGAUACUGACGCUGAGGAGCGAAAGCGUGGGGAGCGAACAGG
Molecule: ribosomal RNA, 253 nt
Filed under: uncultured bacterium
Lineage: Bacteria
Description: partial 16S ribosomal RNA
Rfam family: Bacterial small subunit ribosomal RNA
Source: RNAcentral